AUUGAACGCUGGCGGCAGGCUUAACACAUGCAAGUCGAGCGGGGUGAUGAUGCUUGCACUAUCACUUAGCGGCGGACGGGUGAGUAAUGCUUAGGAAUCUGCCUAUUAGUGGGGGACAACAUCUCGAAAGGGAUGCUAAUACCGCAUACGUCCUACGGGAGAAAGCAGGGGAUCACUUGUGACCUUGCGCUAAUAGAUGAGCCUAAGUCGGAUUAGCUAGUUGGUGGGGUAAAGGCCUACCAAGGCGACGAUCUGUAGCGGGUCUGAGAGGAUGAUCCGCCACACUGGGACUGAGACACGGCCCAGACUCCUACGGGAGGCAGCAGUGGGGAAUAUUGGACAAUGGGGGGAACCCUGACCCAGCCAUGCCGCGUGUGUGAAGAAGGCCUUAUGGUUGUAAAGCACUUUAAGCGAGGAGGAGGCUCUUUUGGUUAAUACCCAAGAUGAGUGGACGUUACUCGCAGAAUAAGCACCGGCUAACUCUGUGCCAGCCGCCGCAGUAA
This 503-nucleotide ribosomal RNA is filed under the name uncultured bacterium. RNAcentral's name for it is "partial 16S ribosomal RNA". It matches the Rfam family "Bacterial small subunit ribosomal RNA", at positions 30 to 523 of the family's 1533-position model. The record is from RNAcentral.